This 7342-nucleotide long non-coding RNA is filed under the name Zea mays. Its description in RNAcentral is "long non-coding RNA (ZMAY_LNC002100)". Lineage: Eukaryota; Viridiplantae; Streptophyta; Magnoliopsida; Poales; Poaceae. The record is from RNAcentral.
ACCCUCUGCAGAGGUCGCACACUUUACCCACAAGUCGUGAUUCCCAUUCUGCCCGGAGAUCAUGACUCUCCAUUGAUCACUACCAAGGUGACCUAGCAGGGUCUCACUAAGUAGCCUUUACAAAGAUUACUUAGAGGUCAUAGCCGCCCGUUAGGUUUCUCCAGUUUGAUAAACACAGUACCUCUCCCCGAAGGAGGGUGACUAACAAAAGCAAAACGAAAGAACCUCGGCACCCAGCCUCGGCAGAGCAAGCACUGUGCCUGGACCCCAUUGACGGCACGACGGCGAAGCAACUACACCUCUAGUUCCUCUAAUUAAUUAGCUAAGGGCAUCCCAUUUCACCCUCAUGGUUGCACUGUUAUCCCGGGUGGUCUCUCAACGAACAGGUCCUUACGGAGAGGUACUCGGGAAACAGCCCGAGUCCCCUAAAUGCCACAAGUAUAUCAUCAUGUCCAGAAUAAAAUCAUAGUAUCAUCAUUGUAUCUCAUCAUGUUCAUUGAUUAAAGUAAAGCAAUAGCAUGAAGCUAACCAUAGUAGCCCAAAAGGUAAUCAAGGGUGAGGUAAAUACAAAGCUAGUCAAUCCUUAAGUUGAUCAUGGUAUGCGGUUGAUGAAUUAUAAAGUAAAUGGGACAUAAUAGGUCAGAGGACACUUGCCUUCAAACAGAUGCUCAGGGUCUUCGAUCUCGUAGAACUCGAAGAGCUAGAUCACUUGGUCGCCGAAGCUUGACCGUCGAUUCCUCGAAGCUCAGGAACAGAUCGCGAUCUAAUCGCAACACGAAGCGAAGACGAACAAGCACAAGCAAACAAACAUAUAUAAAUACAUAAGAACAUUACACCAUACAAGAUAAAUUGAUAUAAAAAUAUGUAGCAUAAAAUAGAGCCCGAUUCUAUGGUCACGCGAGGGAAAGAAAUGUCGAACUCGAAGCGACGGUCGGGAAAAUAUCGCGUUUACGCUAAACAAGUAUUAACGCUAACAAUUAAUUCGACCUUAUCAAUUAUAAAUUAUAUCUACUAUUUAGUUUGAUUAAUCUGCUACACUAACAACUGUCAAAUAAAUAAGUAAUUUAAUUAACACAAGAGAUUCUAAGCGGGACGAAUUUAUGACAAGCGAAACAACACGACAGCGUGCAAACGACGCGCGGACACGCGCGACACAGCACGCUGACGACACACGAAAUAGUGCGCACGACCAGCGCUAACGAUGCGCGAACCGGCACGAAUCAGCACGCAACCACGAGCCCACCAUGCACGAACAACGCGCAGACAGCACGUGAACGACGCGCGAAGCAGCACGCCACUGCGCGGAACAGCACCCGCGACAGACGAGAAUAACUGAUCAGGUGACACAUUUAUACUAAACACCUAUUAAAUAAAUAAAAACAAGUUAAGAUAAUACUAGCCACGUUAAAUGCUAAUUACAACCUUAAAAGUAAUCAGAUUAUAUUUACAAACCUUGCAUAGGACCUGCUACAUUUAAGUAGUAAAUCUUGAAAGGCAUGACACGCAAAGAUCGUAAUGAUAUCGUUUUUAUGCUAAGUGGGUAUUAACUAUAAUACUUAUUUUCAGCAUGAUCAUAUUAGUAGGCAUUUAUAAAAUAUAAAUUAACGCAACUGCUUAGUCUCAAUUAUUUUAAUACUCUAAUAGUUAAUAGCUACACAGGUGAUCAAUUAACAUGAAUGAUCAUAAGCGAAAACAAUUUAAUAACGCGUGAAAGACGCGUGACGACACGCGACACUAUGCGAAACAGCGUGCAAACGGCACGCGGAAUAAUGCACACGACAGCGCGUGACACGUACGAGUCAACGCGACUACGCACACGAACAGCACGAUGUCACACAAACGAUGUCGUGCGCGAACAACAAACAAAUAAUUAAUGAAAAGUAUUUCGGUUGGUAUUAAUCACGUUAACUAACAUUUAUUUAUAAAAGCGCGAGUUAAAGCUAUAAAACAAUUUUAAUUAGAAGGCCGUUUUAAUAAGUAUGGAAUGAAUAGCUAAUUAAACAAUAUAGACUUGUGACAUGUUAGAAUACAUUACUAAUACGAAAUCAACGCGACUGAACACUUAAUUUAGAACGAACACAAUAUGCCGCAGCGCUAAUCGAUAUCAUGUCUAUACUAACCAAACAUAAACGAAAACGCUUCGGAUUGACACAACUACCUUAAUAGCUAUCGAUGAAGCGCGUAAUUAAAAUUACAAGUUCGUUUUCGGUCGAAUUGUUAUUUUAAUCACCGAACAACCAAUUACUACUUAAUUAUUUAAUAUGCACCCAGUGGCGAAACGAUUUUACCAAAACGUGCAACUAGCGAUUUGCGUGAACGACACGCGAAUCAACACGUAACCACGGGCAGAACCGCGCGUACGAUACGCGAGAUAAACUAAAUAAACGUCGCAUUUACAUUAAACUAAAUAUUAAUCGCGUCGACACGCAUUUAUAAAGCGCAAGUGAAUAACUAUAAAUUAGUUAAAUUAAAAAGUCUAAUUAAUUAACGUUAGUUAAACAAAAACGUGAGGCAUGGCGGAAAAAUGCUACUAACGCGUAGAGGAUGCUCACCUAGAUGCGGACAUGGACGGCGCAACGGGCUCCAGCGAGGCCGUGGGUGACGACGGGGCGAGCUCGCGACGGGUGGUGAACGGAGACGACGCAGCGAACCGUUGCGCAGCAAGGCGAGGCGCGACGGAAGGCGGCAUAACGCGGCAACGACGUAGAGGCAGGGCGUGGCCUGGGCACGCAGGCCAGGGGACAGACGACGGCGAGCUGCUUAGAGCGGACGUCUGGUUCGACAAAGAUGGUCGCGGUUGGGGCGUGCGCGGCGAGAGCUUCCUGCGUGGCCGUGGCCUCCGGCGACCAGGGCUAGGACGAGCACGAACGCCGCGACGGCGAUGGGGAAUCCGCGCCUGGGGCUGCCGGUGUGCUCGCACAGACCCUUGCCGCGCAGGGGUCGAGACAGGGAGUGUUGAACCUCCAUGGCUGCUCGGUCAAUGUGUUGAUGGAGGUCGGAUGGGGCCGAGCAGCAGAAAAGCGAGACAAGGCGAGGGGAGGAGAGAGGGAGGAAGAAGGUGCUAUGCGCGGCUGCGAGUUGGCGACGUGGGCGCAGGGACUCGGACGGUUGGAGAAGACGUGCCCUGGCGGCCAGAGAACGAGCAGCGGCUGCGCGAGCGGCUGGGCGACCUGUUCUGCGCGCGCGAGCUGGGCUUGCUGGGAGCGCUGGCGAGCAGGCCUGGCGGCCUGGGCGUGGGCGAGCGCCCCUGGCGCGCGAGCUGGGCCACGGUGGGGGGCUGCACCAGCGGCUGGGCUGGGGCGCGAGUUCUGGCCGCGCAAGGGGGGAGCGGGGUGGGCCGCGCAAGAGGCGCGCUAAUGGGCCGGCUGGGGGCGCGCGAGCAGCGCAGGUGGCGCGCUGGGCCGCGGGGGGGGAAGAGAGGCUGCCACGGCUGGGCCAAGCGGGCGCGGGCCCAGGAAGGGGAAGAGGGGGAGGAUGGGCUGGCUAGAGGGUUUGGGCUCCUUCCUUUCUUUUCCAUUUUCUUCUUUUUCUUGAUCUUUUCUAUUAUUCCCAUUCAUAUUUAUACACAAGAAGAGCUACAAAAAAUAAAUGGAUACACACCAAGACAAUACGUCAAACAGAAAGCAAAUGCACUCCACAUACAAAAUAAUAUAUGCUCCGACAUGAUGCAACAAUCAAAGCACCUCUAGGGUUUUAUUUUACUAGGCUUACAUAUAUAAAACAAAAUAACUCUCCACUAAUUGGAAAAAGAGUAGAAAAGAGGGAAAGAAAUAGGGUAACACCUGAAUUUGGUGGAUAUUAGAAAAAAUAAAUUUUACACCCCAAAUUCAGGGUGUUACAAAUCUAACCCCCUUAACAGAAUCUCGUCCUCAAGAUUCAAGAAGAGGCUAGCAGGAAAAUGAGAUUGGUUCAUUAGUCUUUCAUAGCUUUUUCUAACUCAACUUUGACUCCGCCGGCUUGACUUGUGGAUUGGUUGCUUUGACCAUCAGAUGCUCGAGACCGAUUGAUGCAAUUCUUGAGGAUCUCCUGGACCUGUGGGUUAGGACCCACACACGCUUUCGCUGCGCCAAUCUGAUCUUGUUGGUUGAUGUUGAUUGCAUUGUCUUCAUUGGGGUUAGCGGCUAACCCCUUUAACAAGAGCAUUGAUACAUACUUGAUGAAGAUGUUGCUGACUCUGAUCUUGACUGAUUUGGAGGAGUUGGAGGUUGCCAAAAGGACAGGUGCAAGAGGAAAGAAUAACGAGAAAAGGUAAGUAUAGACAGAUUAGAGAGAGCAGGGGGAGAACCCAACUACUUAACUCUAUGGCACUCACCUAGUAAACAGAUUCCAUUACGGUCCAAGGGCCACAACACAUCAACACUCAUUCCAAAGAAGCAAAUCAAUCAUAGCAGAAGGACAAACAUCAUGAGCACACAUCAACAAACAUCUCGUUGAUAUACGUUCCUUUUAAUUAAAUGGUGGUCUUUCCUUAAAAAAAAGGGAAACUACUCUACGGCCAACAAAAGGCAAGGGGAAUAAUAAGACAUGGAGGCUAGGGGCAUGAGCAUAAUAAAGGAUGGAGCUAAAGCAAUGAUUGUAACCGACAAGGGAGAGAAUGCAACCAAGGUCAGGAUAGGUAAAACACCAUUCUCAAUUCGAGAUGGGAAAGAUGAUAAUUCAAAAGGUAAGCAUACAAUAAGCAUCAUGGAAAGAUCUAGUGAUUACCAAGGUAAAGGAGGUAACAGGCAAAAGCACACCAAAGGAUCAAGUUAAGACAAGACUUGCAACGCGAUAGAGGAAAGGGAACGAACCAAGGCGGGGAGGGGUAAGACAACACUUGUAAGGUGACAAGGAGUAAAAAUAAUUCAAGGGAGAGAUAGGUAACUCACAGCCUCAAACUUGCUUGAAGGAAAGGGGAGGCUUUUAAAGAUGUGUUCAAGGUAAGCAUUUAGGUAGAAGACAUCAAUAUCGCAAGGUUCAAAGGCGACAGACAAGGGUAUAUGGGGAAAGAUGAAGGCAUUGGAGAGCCAGUGGUAUGAGUACAACAAAGAAUGGAGUUGCACCCAUGCUUACACGCGGUAAAGAAGAGGAUGUAGCCAAGAGUGAGGUAAGUAAAACACCGCUCUCAAAUUGAGAUAGGAGAUUGGAGAUUUUAGAUAACGGACAUAAUGUAAUCACAAGGUAUGAUAGAGUGAUGAGAGAGUAAAUGAAGUAAUAAACAAAAACCCAACAAACGAUAGAGUUAAAAACUCACAGGUGACAAAGAAGAGGAUACGACCAAGGGAAAAAUAGGUAAAGUACAAUGCUCAGAUUGAGAUGGAAAAGAGGAUAUUUUAAAGGCCGGUAUAAGAUAAACAACAAGGUAAGAUAUAGGGGUGACAAGGAUAAAGGUGAUAAUGAUGAAAACAUAAUCCAUGGACAGAGUUAAGACAGGACUUGUUGAGGGACGAAGUGAAGAAAACAAUCAAGGAUAAGAUAAGUGAGGUUCCGACAGAAGAGUUGAAAUAAAAAUUCAUUACCGAAGGAAGUUACAAGGGAUCAAUGAGAUCACCAAGGAUGUGCGAAAUAAAAUGAAUGCUCAUGGAUCAUCGAGAAACAAGGGUGGUCAAGGGAAUGCAAAAUGAAAUAUCCUAAACAGACCUUGGGGUAUGAAGAUAAACAUACAUAAAAAUAUACGAGUAUGCAAGACUUCAAGGAUACGAGCAUACUAAGACCAAGGGAAAUAGGGAUGGUCAAAUGGUAUAAAUUCAAUGAUGGAAAAAAAUCUCAAAAGACAAGAAGGUUAUGGUCAGGGGCAUCUACGAAGAUGUCGCAAGCACAAGAGUGAGAUCAGAUCUAAUAGAUUGAGAGAAGUAUAGAACAUACUAGAAUAAAAUAAUUUUGGCAAGGGGGCAUAUAGGAGCACAACAUAGAAUUAGUCGAGGUGACUAAUAGUUUGAAUCAGAAUCAAGGAUGAGGUGAAGUAAUAAUCAAUAAGUCCUUAAAACGGCCAAUGCUACUCUAGGAUAGCGGUCCUACAGUCAGCAAGGCUUUGAUACCACUUAUGUCACACCCGGUUUUGAAGGUAAACCGAAUGCGAACCAUGUACGUGCCAGGAUCAGAAAUUCACGUACACAGCGAUUACAUAAAUGACUCAUCAUAGCACAAUGCUUCGAAUAACAAUAAAGAUAAGUAAUAAUAUGAAAGACUAGAGUCAUUUACAUAAUAUAAUCAAAGUACACAGAACAGAAACGUAGCCAACGUAAAUAAACCCACCACAGGCAGCUGACUGGGGGAGGUCGCUAGCCUAAUCCUCGAACUCGUCGAAGUCCUGGAACUCCUGGAGAUUCGCCUUGACGCCUUCUUCUUUACCUGAGCAUAGAUUGCACCAAAGGCAACCUGGUGUUUUGUGAAAGCAAGGGUGAGUACACAUCAACGUACUCAGCAAAUGUCCCGUUUGGCUGUAGUGGACUAGCUUUAUUUGGGGUUAAGGUCAAGCAGUUGCUUUUAGUUGGUCAGGUUAUUAUUACUCAUUGAGAGCCAGGUUUUAACAUUAACCCAAGUUAUUAACCCAAAGCACCCUUUCCAAACGGAAAGAAUACCACUUACCAUUACCAUAGUCAUAACCAUCAUCCUUGUCACCACCUGUAAACCAACCAUCCCUGAUCAAGUAUCUCUAAUCAAAGAGGAUCCCAAGGCUGCUCUUAACCGUGAGCACGGCUGAUAUAUCAGUUUCCUUACCCUCUGCAGAGGUCGCACACUUUACCCACAAGUCGUGAUUCCCAUUCUGCCCGGAGAUCAUGACUCUCCAUUGAUCACUACCAAGGUGACCUAGCAGGGUCUCACUACGUAGCCUUUACAAAGAUUCCUUAGAGGUCAUAGCCGCCCGUUAGGUUUCUCCAGUUUGAUAAACACAGUACCUCUCCCCGAAGGAGGGUGACUAACAAAAGCAAAACGAAAGAACCUCGGCACCCAGCCUCGGCAGAGCAAGCACUGUGCCUGGACCCCAUUGACGGCAUGACGGCGAAGCAACUACACCUCUAGUUCCUCUAAUUAAUUAGCUAAGGGCAUCCCAUUUCACCCUCAUGGUUGCACUGUUAUCCCGGGUGGUCUCUCAACGAACAGGUCCUUACGGAGAGGUACUCGGGAAACAGCCCGAGUCCCCUAAAUGCCACAAGUAUAUCAUCAUGUCCAGAAUAAAAUCAUAGUAUCAUCAUUGUAUCUCAUCAUGUUCAUUGAUUAAAGUAAAGCAAUAGCAUGAAGCUAACCAUAGUAGCCCAAAAGGUAAUCAAGGGUGAGGUAAAUACAAAGCUAGUCAAUCCUUAAGUUGAUCAUGGUAUGCGGUUGAUGAAUUAUAAAGUAAAUGGGACAUAAUAGGUCAGAG